Long non-coding RNA from Electrophorus electricus (electric eel), 541 nucleotides. RefSeq lists it as uncharacterized. The record is from RefSeq and is a predicted model, not a curated record. NCBI's taxonomy places the organism in Eukaryota, Metazoa, Chordata, Actinopteri, Gymnotiformes, Gymnotidae.
ACACAGAACUAGCAUUCUUUGUCUUUCUCUCUUUUCUUAUUUCAUGUUUUGGUGGGAGGUGCGAGUUUGGUAGUUCUGCAGAUGGACAUUGCAGGACUUCACACUUCAUUGCCUGAGAGCUCUUGGCUGUAGAUCACCGCACACACUCCGCCGAAUUUCAGGCAUGUCUAAGCUGGAGAAGUGGACGUGUUUGUACACAGGAAAGGAUGGCAAAAAGUGUGAGCUGAGCAAUGCAGACCUUAGUGAACUGAUAGAGAACGAGUUGAACUGAGUUCAAGGCUAAGAGGACAUACAGGACAUACAGGAAGCCUUGGACAACAUAGAGAAGAAUCACGACGGACAGGUGAACUUUCAUAAGUUCAGCCGCUGCGUGGCCAUCCAGGAGAUACUUCAGGAAGAAACAUGGCGAGCAAUGUGGGAAGGGCCAAAGCUAAGCAAUAGCGCCCCUGGCACACAUAAUGUGAGCUUAAUGACACUGACGCCAGCAUACAUUUUCAUGGAUGUUCAUUUUUGACAUUCUACAUUGAAAAUAAAAUUAUGA